Molecule: ribosomal RNA, 482 nt
Filed under: uncultured bacterium
Lineage: Bacteria
Description: bacterial SSU rRNA
Rfam family: Bacterial small subunit ribosomal RNA
Source: RNAcentral
UUGAACGCUGGCGGCAUGCUUUACACAUGCAAGUCGAACGGCAGCGGGGGCUUCGGCCCGCCGGCGAGUGGCGAACGGGUGAGUAAUGCAUCGGAACGUACCCAGUCGUGGGGGAUAACUACGCGAAAGCGUGGCUAAUACCGCAUACGCCCUGAGGGGGAAAGCGGGGGACCUUCGGGCCUCGCGCGAUUGGAGCGGCUGAUGUCGGAUUAGCUAGUUGGAGAGGUAAAGGCUCACCAAGGCGACGAUCCGUAGCUGGUCUGAGAGGACGACCAGCCACACUGGAACUGAGACACGGUCCAGACUACUACGGGAGGCAGCAGUGGGGAAUUUUGGACAAUGGGCGCAAGCCUGAUCCAGCCAUUCCGCGUGAGUGAAGAAGGCCUUCGGGUUGUAAAGCUCUUUCGGCAGGGAAGAAACGGUUUGGGCUAAUACCCUGAGCUAAUGACGGUACCUGAAGAAGAAGCACCGGCUAACUACGU